RNAcentral lists this long non-coding RNA (460 nucleotides) under Panax ginseng (ginseng). RNAcentral describes it as "long non-coding RNA (PGIN_LNC001223)". The record is from RNAcentral. Lineage: Eukaryota; Viridiplantae; Streptophyta; Magnoliopsida; Apiales; Araliaceae.
UCAGAAAUCGACAAACGCCGGUGACGGUGGUGAGAUUCCGGUAAACAGCCUGGGUCUUUUCUUCCUCUUUCUAAAUCUUCAAGUAUUUUCAUUUUAAUUUGUUUUCUUAUUGAUGCAUCUUAGUUUAGUUUGUUAUUCGCUCUCAGAAAUCGACAAACGCCGGUGACGGUGGUGAGAUUCCGGUAAACAGCCUGGGUCUUUUCUUCCUCUUUCUAAAUCUUCAAGUAUUUUCAUUUUAAUUUGUUUUCUUAUUGAUGCAUCUUAGUUUAGUUUGUUAUUCGCUCUCAGAAAUCGACAAACGCCGGUGACGGUGGUGAGAUUCCGGUAAACAGCCUGGGUCUUUUCUUCCUCUUUCUAAAUCUUCAAGUAUUUUCAUUUUAAUUUGUUUUCUUAUUGAUGCAUCUUAGUGGUUAUUCAAAUUUACAAAACACAUAGUUAGUUCAAAUUUUCUUGAUUUGAC